Long non-coding RNA from Mugil cephalus (flathead mullet), 4075 nucleotides. RefSeq lists it as uncharacterized. The transcript is spliced from 2 exons. NCBI's taxonomy places the organism in Eukaryota, Metazoa, Chordata, Actinopteri, Mugiliformes, Mugilidae. The record is from RefSeq and is a predicted model, not a curated record.
UCACCAGCGAGGGAUAAUAUUCUUUACAAUAUUGAGUAAUAUGACAUGGAGUCAACCUGCUAACAAGUGGCUAGUUUGUGAGCUUUCAUACUGUAAUACCUAGCAUUUUUGUUUUGUUUCAGUUACACAAACUCAUGCAUAUUCAUACAUCAUCGACUUCACAGACAUAUGGGUACGCAAAUACACACACACAUACACACACUCACACACACACACACACACACACACACACACAUAUAUUCAUAGAUAUGAAUACAGACACUAAUGCGCAUACACCGAACAGGUCUCUUGACUUCAAAUGUUACAGCUGUUAAGCUAAAUUGUUGGUACAUAAGGUUCCUAUGGGGCCUCUGCCCUGAUAGGUAAGAUGUUGAACAGGUUUCUUUCUUAGGAGGGAGGAAGGGUGCAGCCUCUCAGUUGGGGAGAGGCCAGCAAUUGGGGUAACAUGUUAGAUUACGGCAGUAAUCACAGCAGCAUUGAAGGGGGGGCAUGGGGUGCAAAUGGAAUGAAUGAAUCAAUCAAUCAAUAAAUGACACUAGCUAGCAUAACAUGGACAAGUUUUUGGCGGGGUUCCACGUAAACACAAAGCAGAAGAUGAAGCAUUGCCAAAUGUGCUUCCAAAGCAACUGCCUUCCAAGGCAAAUACUAGAAAAUAUGAGGACACAUAUCUUGUCUAUGACUUCACCUGUACAACAGUGGGUAAUGAGGAGAGACCGCAGUGUGUCUGUCUUAAAGUGCUAGCUUGUGGCAGCUUGAAGCCAAACAAGCUUAGAUGCCACUUGGAGACAAAACAUCCAGAGCACAAAGACAAGCCAGUUGAGUUUUCAAACAAAACCAUGUUAACUGCUGUGCACAACAGCCAGCCAGCAAACUAAGGGCUAUUCCUCUGUCCAACAACACCAUCGGCAGGUGCAUUUAUGACAUGUCAAAGCACAUAGAGGAGCAGCUUAAUGAUAAGGUGCGUGACAGCAGCUUUUCUCUGCAGAUGGAUGAAGCCACCGACGGUAACAAAGACUGUUUAUUGAUUACUUACAUCAGAUUCAUAGAUGGAGAUGACAUGAGUGAGGAACUGCUUUUCUGCAAACAAGUUACGGGCAGAGCCACAGCAAGAACUGUUAAAGUCAUUGACUGUUACUUGAAAGAGGACAAUCUGAAAUGGGAGGACUGUGUGGGGUUCUGCACAGACUUAGCGCAGGCUAUGGCUGGGAAAUGGGGAGGGCUGCAAGCUCUGAUCAAGCGCAUCUCCCCCAAUGCGCAGUGGACGCACUGCAUGACACACUGUGAAGCACUGGCGUCUAAACAGCUGAGUCCCGAGCUGAAUGAUGUAAUGACCAACGUCACCACCGUCAACUACAUCAAAACACAACCUGUCAAAGCCCGGAUUUUUUCAGCAUUGUGCAAGAAAAUGGGCUCCAACCACACAGCUGUUCUGUUUCACAGCGAGUCCUGUUGGCUGUCAUGUGGGAAGAUGCUGUCCAGGGUAUUUGAACUGCAAGAUGAAAUCUGCAUCUUUUUGAAGGAAGAGGGCAAUGAUCUUGCCCACAAAUUUUACUGUAACCAGUUACUCAUGAAACUUGGAUACCUCAGUGACAUGUUUCAAUUCUCAAUGAAGUGAAUUUGCAGUUGCAGGGCACAAAUACACACACCCCAAUCUGGCAGAUAAAAUCACAUCAUUCAUCAGAAAACUUGAGAUGUGGCUGCAGCGAAAGAUGGAAAUGUGGACUCAUUUGAAAGCAUUCAUUGAAGUCAACAAACUGCAGAACACAGUGAUCCCAUGCAUGAAAGCACACAUCUCCGCCCUUCAGAAACAUUUCCAGAAAUACUUCCUGAUGCAGGAACCCAAAGAAUAUGACUGGAUCAGUGCAACACGACCUGCUGACUUCAGUACAUCAGGGGAGGAACGGUUCAUUGAUGUCACCUCUGAUUCAACAAUGAGGCUGCAGCUGAUUCAACAAUGAGGCUGUAGUUUCAGUCAAAGACACUGGCUGCAUUUUGGAUUGGAGUGGAUAAGAUUACCCAAUGCUACGUAAGAGAGCCCUGGCCAUAUUUCUUCCUUUUGCCACAUCCUACCUAUGUGAGAUAGGUUUUUCUGCUGUUGCCUCAAUCAAGACAAAAUACAGAUCAAAGCUGGACUUUGAAAAUCAGAGUGGCAAUCUCAAAACUGCAACCCAGAUUUGAGAAGAUCUGCAGCAUAAAGAAGGCCCACACCAGUCGCUGAAUGUGACGUGAAGAUUAAAGUUGUCAUUUUUGCACAACAAACCUUUAGGUUUUUGUUUUUUUCUUCUCAGGGAGUUGGUCACGUUUUAAAACCCAUUUUUGCACAGAGACAGUUUUUUUGUAAAAUGCUGAAUAUGUUGACUUUGUUGAAUAUUCAUUGUUGAAUUAUUAUUUUUUUUUAAAAAAAGAAACCUGUUACACUGAACAUUAUUACACAGUUCAGAUACUUGAAAACAGUUACACUUAAAAUAAUUAUAUAGUUUAUUGCAACCUGUAGUUUAUGGCAGUUUACUUAUAUUUGUUUAAAAAAGGUUAAGGCAGGGGCGUAGUCAUCAUUUUAGAAGUGAGGGGUUACACAUUGUUCAGAGGCCUAUUGAGUGAUUUACUGUAUCAUCCCCUGUGCUGCCUAUUGCAACACGGACAAAAACAUUUGGUAAGACUAGUUUUGACUAGUUUUAUAUGAUCUCCUUGAUGUAUUUGGAACAUAUUCAGGUUAUAAACUGAACAUACAGAAAACUCAAGUACUAACGUUCAAUUAUAUCUCCUCACCGGAGCUCAAACACAGAAUACCAAAAAACAUGUGGACAGCAUAAUUUUGAAAUAGAAGUGAUACAGUAGUAGUAGAAUUUAACCUCAAAAUCUCUUUUAUGCUAUCGAUAUUUUUUCUCAGCCAAUUAUAACUGAGACAUUCUAAGGACUUUAGUUCGAAUUUCUCCUCACCUGCUGUGAAGACCCUCCAUGUCCAUCCCUGCUGCUUUCUCCUCCCCCACCCUGCUCUUUCUGUUGUAUAAAGAUGAAAAAAUAUGUGCAGAACAAUAGUGAGCACAAGUUCUGUGCAGAAAUUUUGGAAGAGUGGGUUUAUUCCUAGGAGGUAGAGUAGCCAAAAAUUGUAGUUAAGUAAGGGUAUUGUUUCUUUAGAACAAUAUUACUUAUGUAGAAGUAAAAAGUACUCAUCCAAAUAAUUGCUUAAAUCACAGUGAAAAAGUAUUUAGUGAAAAAAAUACUCAAAGACUGUGUAACUUUUGAGUAGCCUAAAGUCUGAUUUAUUCAUCAAAUAACAUUGAUGCAAUCAUUCAAUCAAAAAUAAUAAUCAGCAAUCAGCAAAUUCAUGUACUUUAAACUUUAACUACCACAAAAAUACAGCCAAUAAAACACAAACUCAAGUAAAAUUAUACAAGUAGGUCAAGCAAUCCGAUUGGUCAACUAGACGUUUAGAAUGUGCUUCAGUCAGCAUGACAACACACCUGACUAAUCACUAAAAAUAUCACUCCGCCAUCUCCACAUUGUCACCUCCUGAAAAUAUAGAACAUGUAAAUAAAUACGAAUACGAAGUCCACUGGAAGUCAACUUUAAUAAAGUAAUACAUCUGAAUUUACAAUGUCAGCUUUCUUUAAUGAAUUUUCUCUGUGUUACCUCGUUAAUACAGGUGUGUACCUCGUCUGUGUGCAGCAUGUUGGAGAUCAAACAGUUCAGUGAGCGCAGAGAAAAUAUUUAUAUUUAGACUACAGGUGGACUAAUCUGGACUGAGAGGAAUACUCCGUUAGAUAAAAACAUGAUGUUCAUUCUGAUUCCAUCGAUCUUUGUUCAACACACUUUGACUUUUGGACUUUACAACACUGUGGAGUUACUGGAAAUGUUUGGCUCAUCCUCCAUCAGUACGGUAGGUGGCAGCAGGGCACCUUUAACUUGGAUGCCAGCGGCCCGGUCGUGUCCGCCAAUUAAGGAGAAGAACAAGAAGAAGCGGAGGAGCAGCAGCCAAGAUGUUCAAGCAUAGAAAGAAUAUGGAGAACGCCGGUAAAAAAAAAUAAAAAUAAAUAAAAAUAACGGAAAGAAAUGGGUGGGACUGAGAAGACGACGG